Molecule: ribosomal RNA, 207 nt
Filed under: uncultured bacterium
Lineage: Bacteria
Description: partial 16S ribosomal RNA
Rfam family: Bacterial small subunit ribosomal RNA
Source: RNAcentral
CACGUAGGCGGUUUGGUAAGUCGAAUGUGAAAUCUCACGGCUCAACCGUGAAACUGCGUUCGAAACUACCUGACUUGAGUACUGGAGAGGUAUGCGGAAUUCCUGGUGUAGCGGUGGAAUGCGUGGAUAUCAGGAAGAACACCAGUGGCGAAGGCGGCAUACUGGCCAAGUACUGACGCUCAGGUGCGAAAGCGUGGGGAGCAAACG